CCAGCGAUGACAGAGUUUUCAAUGGAGACAGCAGCAAGUUGAAUGGUACCAACAUGACCAGCAAAUACUUGAGUUAUGGCACCAAUUGAGUAUUGGCAAAUGGAAGUGAAAAUGGCUGGAGCAGCAAGGUACCAUAGUUUUUUCGACUCUGCUGAAAACUCUCGAACGAAAUCUUUAACUCCAUUGAUUUCUUUGAUAUCAUCUGAA
Molecule: long non-coding RNA, 207 nt
Organism: Solanum stenotomum
Lineage: Eukaryota; Viridiplantae; Streptophyta; Magnoliopsida; Solanales; Solanaceae
Exons: 2
Source: RefSeq, a predicted model, not a curated record